GUGGAUGAGGCGGUUAGAGUCAUCGGGUCAAAGAAAAGACAGUCUCUUUUAAGAGAGUCUUUUCUAGGCACUCGUUUUGAGUUGCCAGAGUAAAAUCUCUCCAAGAACGCAACGUGGAGCUUUGCCAAGACCUCACCAGCGAGCCCUGGGGUGCCGGCCUGGAGCAGGAAGGCAGAGACUUUGGUCCCUGGGAAGUGGAAAAGGAAGGUCAUAUGUCCCACCUGUGUUUUGUUUUCUCCUGGCGAGGGCUGAGCUAUCAGAUGGCAGAUCCUGCGCCAGCAUCCUCAGCCAGUUCCCAGGGAGAAGCUUUCACAGCAGGAUUGAGCACCAGUGGAUGCUGCUGUGGCUCCUGGAAGCUGCAGGUUGUCACCCGCUGUCCUGUCAUCAAGGUGGACCUGAAGCAACAGUUUGUCCUGGAGUCGAAGAAAGCCCAAGGGUCCUCAGUCCCACCCACACUGUAAAGGUGCGCGUCAGGCCUGGCAGGGUCGGCAAUUGGCCCAAGGCCCUCAGUGAGGUCAGGACUGGGGCCCUGGCUCUCGGACCCACAUGGCCAAGAUCACUCCCACAGCGUCCCCUUCAAUGAGUGAGUGAGAGCAAAACAGCAGCAACCAUGACAAUGAUGACUCUGUGAUGCACGGAGAAGGUUCUGGAGGCCAGAAGUCUGAAGUCAGUUUCACCGGGCCCAAAUCAAGGACCACAUUCCCUCCGGAGGUGCUAGGGGAGAAUCCACUUCCUUUCCUUUUCCAGAUUCUAGAGCUGUAUUUCUUGGCCCAUGGCCCAUUCCCCAGCUUCAAAGCCAGCAGCUUAGCAUCUUCAAAUCUCUCUCUGCUUUGUCUUCACAUUGCCUUCUUCUCUGUGUCAAAUCUCCCUCUCCC
This 875-nucleotide long non-coding RNA is filed under the name Equus caballus (horse). RNAcentral describes it as "lncRNA (ENSECAG00000055709.1)". The record is from RNAcentral. Lineage: Eukaryota; Metazoa; Chordata; Mammalia; Perissodactyla; Equidae.